GAACAAAUAGGUGGUCUUUCCGGAAAUGUUAAACGAUUCGUGGUCAAGACGGAGAAUGUGGCGACGAGUGACUUCCUGAUCCAGAAGAAAGUCACGCCAAAAUAGGGACGAUGGCAGACAAACCAGCUGGGAUCAGGAUUUUACACUAAACAAAAGAGAGUGCGAACAUUAUUAAAGUCUCAGACAAGCAAGUGCGGAACCCCAAUCACGAGGGGGAAAAGGACACCCAUUAAUGGAGGAAAUAGCCCUAUAUUCUAUUUAUUCUCUUACGAGAUUUGGAGGACAAAGAAUAGCACGCUUCUCUUGCCUCUAGGAAGAAUAGAAGGAACCUAUUCUCUUACACAAUCAGCUGUGCACAAAGAAGUUCCUACUUAUAUUGAGAGUGACCCCGGCGAGAGACCCUCUUCAUCUAUUGCUCGGGAGAUACCACAGAACACUUAAGCGAGACCUUACCUCUUAUUGACUUGAACAAACUAACUCCCGUCUUUGGUGAUCUGUACCUCGAAACACACCUUAGACAAGCAAAUUGAAGUUUCAUUGAAUGAAUGAAAAUCAUAAUCUGAAUAAGAGUAUGAUACUAGACGACUAGAGAAGAGAGAGGCAGGAAAGCCAGAUCGGACUGCUUAGAGGAGAUAAGGGACUUAUCCUUCUAUUCUAAGAAACCAACCAAAAGGAAAUAGUUCACCUUGGCAGAGUGACCUGUGGAAAGAUCGAUCUCUGGAUCAUAUGAAAUGCAGUUCAGUGGAAUUCAUGUGAAAAUAGAAAUCUGAAAACAAAGAAAUCAGAGAANNNNN
RNAcentral lists this long non-coding RNA (794 nucleotides) under Panax ginseng (ginseng). RNAcentral's name for it is "long non-coding RNA (PGIN_LNC002990)". The record is from RNAcentral. Lineage: Eukaryota; Viridiplantae; Streptophyta; Magnoliopsida; Apiales; Araliaceae.